This 722-nucleotide ribosomal RNA is filed under the name uncultured archaeon. RNAcentral describes it as "bacterial SSU rRNA". It matches the Rfam family "Archaeal small subunit ribosomal RNA", at positions 137 to 858 of the family's 1478-position model. The record is from RNAcentral.
AAACUGAGGAUAAUACUGGAUAGGCAAUUAUUCCUGUAAUGGUUUUUUGUUUAAAUGUUUUUUCGCCUAAGGAUGAGUCUGCGGCCGAUUAGGUAGUUGGUUAGGUAAUGGCUUACCAAGCCGUUGAUCGGUACGGGUUGUGAGAGCAAGAGCCCGGAGAUGGAACCUGAGACAAGGUUCCAGGCCCUACGGGGUGCAGCAGGCGCGAAACCUCCGCAAUGUGAGAAAUCGCGACGGGGGGAUCCCAAGUGCCAUUCUUAACGGGAUGGCUUUUCAUUAGUGUAAAGAGCUUUUGGAAUAAGAGCUGGGCAAGACCGGUGCCAGCCGCCGCGGUAACACCGGCAGCUCUAGUGGUAACAAUUUUUAUUGGGCCUAAAGCGUCCGUAGCCGGUUUAAUAAGUCUCUGGUGAAAUCCUGUAGCUUAACUGUGGGAAUUGCUGGAGAUACUAUUAGACUUGAGACCGGGAGAGGUUAGAGGUACUCCCAGGGUAGAGGUGAAAUUCUGUAAUCCUGGGAGGACCGCCUGUUGCGAAGGCGUCUAACUGGAACGGUUCUGACGGUGAGGGACGAAAGUUAGGGGGCGCGAACCGGAUUAGAUACCCGGGUAGUCCUAACUGUAAACGAUGCGGACUUGGUGUUGGGGUGGCUUUGAGCUGCUCCAGUGCCGAAGGGAAGCUGUUAAGUCCGCCGCCUGGGAAGUACGGUCGCAAGACUGAAACUUA